Non-coding RNA from Castor canadensis (American beaver), 586 nucleotides. The record is from RefSeq and is a predicted model, not a curated record. Lineage: Eukaryota; Metazoa; Chordata; Mammalia; Rodentia; Castoridae.
UUAACCUUGGUUUUCUCUUCUGAAAUAUGGAAAUAUGGGACCUCAAGGUGACUGUGAACCAUAAAUGGAAUAAUGGAAGAUAAAAUGAUUUUAAGCUGCAACACAAUAUUCUGAUGAAAGAACGGUGAUGCUGGAGAGAUUAUUUUAGGUGCUGAGGCAUCGUACAAUUGUGUUAUCAAGAAUCAUGGAUUUCAGUAGAAAAUGCCUUGAGUAAGAAUUCAGCUGACAAGGUGGAAACCAGAGCAGGAAAGAUGAUGUGAAAGAACCAUAAGAAAACAGCACAUUUCUUCAAGACUGAGUUUGGUGCUUGUUUGAUACCCUUGAAAGUGGUGCUCAACCCUGGUAGUCAUUAUUGGAUGGUUAGAGCCAGCCAAAAUGAGACCAAUACUGAGAAGAGCCCUGGAGGACUUACUGUUUACACCAAUCAACUCGGUCUCCUCCAUCCUUGUCCAUGCCAGCACGCCACACUCACAUCAUGUCCAGCAUGGCCUUUGAGGAAAGAUCUGCAUCCAUUUGGAGAUUUGCUUUUAUGAUUCUGAUGCCCAAAACUCUUUAUGGCUACCAUGAAUGUUAUAGUUAAUAUUAA